UGCUCUUCCUCUCUAAUCCUUGUAAAACCUUAUGAAAAACCUUCCUCCCUUGACCUUGGCGAGCUUGACUUUAUAUAGGUUAAGUGGACUUUUUCCCAGAUUUCCAUAUUUGCCCCUGAACUUGCCUCGCGAUUUCCCGGACAUGCGCGGGCGCGGAUUAGGCCGCGCACCGGGCCGCGCAUGUACUCUGCUCUUUGUAAUGGACGCGCAUUUACAUUCGGGGGCGCGCACCUGGGCGCGCAUGCCCAGGUGUUCAACUUCUUCAUUUUCUUGAGUUCUCUUCGAUCUCAUUUAGUCCCAAGGGGUCUCAAUUACUCCCGAAUGAUUCCAAUCAAUAUUUUCUUGCACCAAAUAGACUCCUUGCAAAACGUACAAUUCGCUAUUAGAAUCCAUCUUUCAUCAAUUAAUCAUAAUUUACAAUUAGAAUAUAAUCAAGUAGAUGCACUAGAUUUUGCCUAUUAUCAUUUGCCAUAUACCAGUGUUCAACAUAAUAUACAAGUUAAUAACUGCCAAACAAGAGAACUUUUGAAUUUAGAGAAAUUUUAAUAUGGAUAAUAAACAAAAAGUCUUCAACUGGAAUUGGAUUUUGUAAAGCUUAAUUAGAUAUACCUCCUAGACAGGAUUGAAUAAGGAUUUGACUUCUCAAGAGGAGGUUAAU
Molecule: long non-coding RNA, 658 nt
Filed under: Nicotiana benthamiana
Lineage: Eukaryota; Viridiplantae; Streptophyta; Magnoliopsida; Solanales; Solanaceae
Description: long non-coding RNA (NBEN_LNC008678)
Source: RNAcentral